CCUACGGGUGGCAGCAGUGGGGAAUUUUGCGCAAUGCUCGUAAGAGUGACGCAGCGACGCCGCGUGAAUGACGAAGGCCUUCGGGUCGUAAAGUUCUUUCGACAGGGAAGAAAAUGCAUAUAAGUAACUGUGUCUGUAUUGACGGUACCUGUAUAAGCAGCCCCGUCUCACUCCGUGCCAGCAGCCGCUGUACUACGGAGGGGGCGAGCGUUGUUCGGGGUGACUGGGCGUAAAGAGCCCGUAGGCGGGGUUGUAAGUCAUUAGUAAAAGACUAGAGCUCAACUUUAGUAAGGCUAGUAAUACUAUAAUACUAGAGGAUCAGAGGGGAUUGAAGAAUCCCUGGUGGAGCGGUGAAAUGCGUAGAUAUCAGGAGGAAUACCGUUAGCGAAGGCGGAAAUCUGGCUGGAAACUGACGCGGAGGGGCGAAAGCGUGGGUAGCAAACGGAUUAGAUACCCCUGUAGUC
This 464-nucleotide ribosomal RNA is filed under the name uncultured bacterium. RNAcentral describes it as "partial 16S ribosomal RNA". It matches the Rfam family "Bacterial small subunit ribosomal RNA", at positions 338 to 795 of the family's 1533-position model. The record is from RNAcentral.